GAGAGGACCGAAGUUUCUCGUGUGGAAAGACGCGAGAGCGAGAGAAGAGACAGAGAGAGAGAGAGGGCAUACGUUACGGGUUGCGGCACAACGUCGUUGUAGAUCGCGAGAGGUAGACAACGGCGGUGAUGGCGCCGAGCGCUGGCCGAGGCCUCCUCGAGCACAAGCACUUCGAUCGGCAGAUGGGCUGCAUGUCCGGUUUCCUCCACCUCUUCGACCGGCACCAGAUCCUUGCACGGAAGCGACUCCCUCCACCGCCAAUGGUGAUGGGUUCGUUCGCCUCGCCGUCGGAGAUAUCGGAUGCAUCCUCAGGCUCGAUGAAGGACGGUCUUCGGUCCCCGUCGCCAGAUUUUCGUUCUCCGCCACCGCGGGCGCACCGUCUCCCGCUGGUCGAGGUCAUUGAUAGUUCGAGGUCCUCGUUACGUUCCAGAGAUACUCAGUGCCUUUCUCUCGACGGCGAGAGCAGGCACCGCGCGCGCGGGGCCUGGUCGGCGGCUGUGGUUGUCUCGCCCGGCGAACAAUCUGACGCCUCAGAGGCGGCAGACGAAAUCAAUCGGAAACGUCGCUCUCCUAGUGUCGUAGCGCGGCUAAUGGGGCUGGAUGCUCUACCAGAUUCUGCGGUCGACGAGGGCGGCUGUGAAUCUGGCCGGCCUGAGCUCCGUCGAUCCGCCUCCGAGUCUCGCGUUCCUGGACACGCAACAUCCUACCGGUUCCUCGACGGGGACGUCUACCCUAAACGAUCGCCGGCGGAGGCGGACCGUGUCUCCGUCGAAGAGUGGAUCAGAAAGGCAAAUCUCGGUGACAUUCGUAUUCCUGAGGCGAGGAAGUCUAAAUUUCAGGCGAAGACACCUCGCCUUCCACCGCUUCAGAGGAAGAGUUCCUUUGACGCGGACGAAUUCUUCCCCGAGCCGAAGAGACGCGGAUUGCUCCCAAUUGAACUCGAGAAACGGCAUUUGAUUCGAGGAAUGGAUGAAGCGCCGAGGGAUUUGGAGACGCUGAAGCAAAUACUGGAAGCUCUUCAGCUCAAGGGACUUCUCCACUCCACGCCAUCUGAUCACCAUAUCAGUGAUCGCCGCGACCUCUAUUCUAGGUUUUCCAAUUACUCACCAAUCGUCGUCAUUGAACCUGUUCCCUCGCCGCCCAGGCCACCAUCAGCAGAGCCUCGUCCGCAGAUGGCUUCCAAAUCCAUCGCUGGUCGGAGGAACAACGUAGAAGAGGCAGCCAUUCCUUCGCUACGGCAAAACCGAAGGGUAGAAAAUGGGACGAAGGAACGGACCCCGAACUCCUCUGCCAAGCGGAGGAUCUCAAGUGCGACGGAUUCUGUGCAGACUCUGCUACCACGACCCCGAACCUCAGCCGCAAAUCCACCUAAAACCCCUCCUCACCGAUUUGCCACUGUUCCAGCAUCUGGUCGACCACAAGCGAAUCGGCGACAAAAACUAGAGGUAGCACCGAAGCAGAGAAUAAACUCGCCGGCGCAGGGCGAUACGAACGCCACCGCAGCCCCUCCCACAAUGGACGUUGAGAAGUCUUGGGCGGAGGAUUACUGGGCGGGACGGCAGCUGUUGAAGCGGUGUGACCAAUUGCUGAGCAGCAUCGCGGAGUUUACUACGGCGGCGCAGGCUGCCGUCGCGGUGGAUCCAGUUGCUAAUGCAGCAACGGAGCAGCAACCAAGUCCCGUCUCGGUCCUCGAGGUAGCCUCGCCGCCGCGCUCUCUGGUUACGAAGCGCGCCAUCGAUUUCGAAGGAAAUCAGUUGCCUGGUUGCGAAGAGGAAAUGGUUGCGUCAAAUGAUGGAGACGAUCCGGCGGCGCGAGUGGAGGAGGAAGGAGAGGAAGAUGUCGAGAGCAACGACGAUGAUUAUGCGUGCGUGGCGCAGAUCCUGCGAUCUUCUGACAGCCCCGCCGGCGCUACCGACGUGUAUGCUCGAUUCGAGAAGCAGCGCAGUGCCUUCAAGUCCGUACCUCUCCACCGCCGCCUCCUCUUCGACGCGGUGGCGGAGAUCCUCGACCGGAAACGCUGCGCAUCGCAUCCGCCCUGGGAGUUCUUCGUGCGCCCAGGCUCCCUCUCCGCCGCGAGCCAGAGUGCGGGUGCCGGCCCGAUGCUGCCGGAGGUUUGGUCGGAGCUUCGGCGGGCGCGUGAGCCAGUGUUCGCCGACGACGUCAACGUCGUCACGUGCAUGGCGGCUCGCAGGGACCUCGAGCGGGAGGACCACGACGGCUGGGCCCGGCCGUCCGCCGAGGUGGCGGAGGCCGCCAUUCAAAUCGAACGGCGGAUAUUCAAGGACCUCGUCGACGGCACCAUAUGCGACCUCGUCGACGCGUGCCCACCGCGGGAGCCCAAACCGAGCAAAUCGAACGGUCGGCGUGGUUCAAUCAAGACCAACAAACGGUAGUGAUGGAUCGCGGUACUUCUAGGCCCAGUUUAAGCUCAAUUGGGGGCCAACAUAGCGUUUUCUGAAUGAUUGCGAUUAGGAAGGGGGACAAGGCACAUGGUGAAUGGUAGUGAGGGUUUGGCUGAUAGCAGGAGAGGCGAUGCGAAUGGACAAUAUCGAUCAAAUUCAAGAAGGAAGAGAUCCUAUCGGAUUCAACCUAUUACUAGCAAGGACAAAGACAGAGACAACCACUAGCUGUUGAUUUUGUGAGGUAUGUUGGUGAGUGUAGUAAUUUUCUGGCUCCAAUCUUUUCUUCUCAGCUGUCUUUUAAUAGAAGACAAAAAAAAAUUAAUUGUUUCUAUUAUAGAUAUAUGUGCCUGAGUGAGUCUCAUUGGCUCAUUGCUAGCUGAAAGCCUGAAACUUAGUAAAGUGUUUAAAAAAAAAAAAACUGCCACAUUAGCGGUCCCACUCUAAUAGAGGGAGGUUCAAUAGGAGUGGAGGUGUUAAAGGCAUGAUGAGAUACUCAUAGAAGAUGAAAUAUUGGAGAUCGACUUGUUUGAUCUGGAUAGAAUAUCAUGUGCUUACCCUUUAAGCCAAA
Zingiber officinale is the source of this 2970-nucleotide RNA transcript. RefSeq lists it as uncharacterized. NCBI's taxonomy places the organism in Eukaryota, Viridiplantae, Streptophyta, Magnoliopsida, Zingiberales, Zingiberaceae. The record is from RefSeq and is a predicted model, not a curated record. The transcript is spliced from 4 exons.